CAGUCGCCGCGGGAAUACGUAGGGUGCGAGCGUUGUCCGGAAUUAUUGGGCGUAAAGAGCUCGUAGGCGGUUUGUUGCGUCGGCUGUGAAAACCUGCGGCUUAACUGUGGGCUUGCAGUCGAUACGGGCAGACUUGAGUUCGGCAGGGGAGACUGGAAUUCCUGGUGUAGCGGUGAAAUGCGCAGAUAUCAGGAGGAACACCGGUGGCGAAGGCGGGUCUCUGGGCCGAUACUGACGCUGAGGAGCGAAAGCGUGGGGAGCGAACAGGAUUAGAUACCCGGGUAGUCCCUGUCUCUUAUAC
Molecule: ribosomal RNA, 301 nt
Filed under: uncultured bacterium
Lineage: Bacteria
Description: partial 16S ribosomal RNA
Rfam family: Bacterial small subunit ribosomal RNA
Source: RNAcentral